GAUGAACGCUGGCGGCGUGCCUAAUACAUGCAAGUCGAGCGCACGGCCGGGAAACUUGCUUCUCUGAUGUUAACGCCGGGCGGGAGGGUCUCUGCUAGAUAACCUUCCUAUAAAACUGGGGUAAAUUCCGUAUACGCGCGCUAGUGCCAGGAAUUAUUUUCGAAGGAAUAGUUCACAAUUGAUAGACUAUCUUGCUGGCACUUAUAGAUGGAUCCGCGCUGCAUUAGCUAGUUGGUAAGGUAACGGCUUACCAAGGCAACGAUGCAUAGCCGACCUGAGAGGGUGAUCGGCCACACUGGAACUGAGACACGGUCCAGACUCCUACGGGAGGCAGCAGUAGGGAAUCUUCCGCAAUGGGCGAAAGCCUGACGGAGCAACGCCGCGUGAGUGAUGAAGGUCUUCGGAUCGUAAAACUCUGUUAUUAGGGAAGAACAUAUGUGUAAGUAACUGUGCACAUCUUGACGGUACCUAAUCAGAAAGCCACGGCUAACUACGUG
This 497-nucleotide ribosomal RNA is filed under the name uncultured bacterium. RNAcentral's name for it is "partial 16S ribosomal RNA". It matches the Rfam family "Bacterial small subunit ribosomal RNA", at positions 28 to 507 of the family's 1533-position model. The record is from RNAcentral.